UAAUUCCUCCACCCCCGUCUUCAUCUUGUUCACUGCCGUCGAAGUCAGCUACCACAAUACAAUGCCGACACUGACGCACACUCCCAAUCUCCCUCGCUGCGAACGUCAAUUGCUUUGAUCCCAAACUCCGACAAGCCUCAACGAUGAUCUCGUACGCUAUAUCACGGAGAUCCAAUUUUGAAAAAAACGAGCGUACAGGCGGUACAGGGAAUGCCCUCAAUUGUGUGCAUUGACAUUGCAUUUUUAUCUGUUUUAUCAGCAAAUGUUAAUUUUAUUAGAAUGUUAAUUUUGUUAAUAGAGAGGAUCGAAUAUGCAAACUCGCAUUUUAAUUGGUUGUUUCUCAUACCUCACUCUUGGGAUUGUGUCCGUACAAGUGUUACUAAACAAACAACGAAGAGUGAGAAACCUUCAUUUCUCCAUCUCGCGUGCCAUUUUCAGCACUUCCCUUUCCCUCAGUUUCGAAAAUUGUAAUGCAUCUCUAUCUAUUUCCCCUUUUUUCUUCUACACCGGUUGUUGAGAUUUGGAAGAGGCAUUGUGCAGAGCGAGAAACAGAGUUCGGAUUUCACCAUUCAAGGUGAGGAGGAUGGAGUAUUUCUGAUGAAUCUAUUAGGUAUGGUUUAGAGCAUACAUACCUCCUUGGAAGGAUUCAAUUUCUAACAUCUGAAGAAGCUGAGGUUUUAGAACUUACUGGAGCAACAGUACUUCUUGAUGGAGCCCACACCAAAGAUUCUGCCCAAGAUCUGAUGAAUACAAUAAGGAUGGCAUUUCCCGAGGCUCAAUUGGUUUUUGUUGUUGCAAUGGCAAGUGAUAAAGACCAUGUGGGAUUUGCUUGAGAGAUUCUCUCAGGUAAAGUCCGUUAAGUUGACAUUAUAAUUUAAAUAGAAGAAAGUGAAAGCCAGUCAUUUAAUAUGAGAAAGUAUUGAUUGAACGAGGAUCAAGUUGGUUUGGUUCCUUCAGACCACUAAAUUUCUGUGCCUGCCUAUAAUUUGUAUUUGUAAAUGAUUUACCCAAUAACCAAGAGCUUUUUGGGUAUAUCAUUUUCUAUUAAUUUCUGCUUAUUGAUGAUGUUUUAAGUUUUUAUUCUGGGGUCUUUGGUUAAUAUUCUGAAUGUACAAUAAGUUCUUCUAAAAUUAGGGUUGCACUUUAGAGAUAAAAAAUGCAGGGUUACAAUCACUGAUUGAAUAAAUAGUUAAGAUUGUGAUAAAAUACUUGCAUGUAUAUAACAAUUCAUGAAGUUAAAUUUCA
Long non-coding RNA from Glycine soja, 1245 nucleotides. RefSeq lists it as uncharacterized. The transcript is spliced from 3 exons. The record is from RefSeq and is a predicted model, not a curated record. NCBI's taxonomy places the organism in Eukaryota, Viridiplantae, Streptophyta, Magnoliopsida, Fabales, Fabaceae.